Molecule: long non-coding RNA, 1053 nt
Filed under: Panax ginseng (ginseng)
Lineage: Eukaryota; Viridiplantae; Streptophyta; Magnoliopsida; Apiales; Araliaceae
Description: long non-coding RNA (PGIN_LNC016268)
Source: RNAcentral
UACUAUGGAGGAUUCCUCCUCAAAGCGUGUUCUAGGCUUUGAUGGGAGAAAGGAUGCCAAGAUCCUUUGAAGGACUGCGUGCUUCGCCAUCUUAUGGGGUGUUUUAACAGUGUAAAGAAAAAAAAAUCACUGAUUUCUUUCUACGCGUCCUUGUAGGUUUCUGCAAUCUCGCAAGAUUUCUAUAAACUGUUUAUUGAUUUAUAUAUGGACUCGAGCUUCUUAUUACUUGUGUAUGUAGUCUUUCCAUUUCGUUCCUUUCGGAAGACCUAUUGUCCUUCCUUAGUUUUGUAGUCUUUUACUUAUAAGUUUCAUUGUUCGAAAUAGCGCUCGAGGUGUGUGCCUCGUAGCGAGGCGGAAGGAAGCAGAAGCGAGGCGUGCGCUUAUUAUGGAACUGAAGAGACUUGCGCCUUUUUCGGUUGAGGCUUACGCCUCGUCGCGAAGCGCCUCAAGGCGUCGCAAGGCCUGCGCCUCGAUUUGGCUUUAAAAAAAAACCUAAGUAUCAGGUUUGGCUUAAUAUCAGAUUUGGCUUCAUCGACUUCUUCAUGGUUCUGCGACUGCUUCAACCUUCACCAGGUAGUACUUUUUCUUCUUCUUUUUCUUUUCUUCCUCUGUCGUCGUCUCUGUUUUCCUCUUCUGUCGUCCUUCCUAAUCUCUGUUUUCUUCUUUUGAGUUUAGUCCUCUGUUAUAGUGUAGUCUUCUUCUGUUAGACUGUUACAGUGUAGUCCUCUGGUUUUUUUUUUUUCAAACAAUGUAGUCCUCUGUUAGUCUGUUUUCCCUUCCAUUCAGCUGGUUAAGUUUUUUUUUUCGUUGACUGCAGGUGCUUGACUGCUUGUAACAAUUUUUGUUACAGAACAAUUUUUGUUGUAUUGAUUUUUUUUUUGUGCUUGACUGCUCUGUUUGUGUUUUCAUUAAUUUCUUUUUGAACAAAGAUAGCAUAUGAUAAUUUCAUAUUUCCAUUUGGUUUUUUAGACUGUCAAUAAUAAUAUUAUUAUUUGUGUACAUGAAUUGCUAAUGUCGCCAAAAUAAAUUUAAUUGGGUUAAUUAGAAUUGGCA